Molecule: ribosomal RNA, 623 nt
Filed under: Psilocybe atrobrunnea
Lineage: Eukaryota; Fungi; Basidiomycota; Agaricomycetes; Agaricales; Agrocybaceae
Description: eukaryotic LSU rRNA
Rfam family: Eukaryotic large subunit ribosomal RNA
Source: RNAcentral
GGAGGAAAAGAAACUAACAAGGAUUCCCCUAGUAACUGCGAGUGAAGCGGGAAAAGCUCAAAUUUAAAAUCUGGCGGUCUCAGGCCGUCCGAGUUGUAAUCUAGAGAAGUGUUAUCCGCGCUGGACCGUGUACAAGUCUCCUGGAAUGGAGCGUCAUAGAGGGUGAGAAUCCCGUCUUUGACACGGACUGCCAGGGCUUUGUGAUGCGCUCUCAAAGAGUCGAGUUGUUUGGGAAUGCAGCUCAAAAUGGGUGGUAAAUUCCAUCUAAAGCUAAAUAUUGGCGAGAGACCGAUAGCGAACAAGUACCGUGAGGGAAAGAUGAAAAGAACUUUGGAAAGAGAGUUAAACAGUACGUGAAAUUGCUGAAAGGGAAACGCUUGAAGUCAGUCGCGUUGGCCGGGGAUCAACCUUGCUUUUGCUGGGUGUACUUCCCGGUCGACGGGUCAGCAUCAAUUUUGACCGUUGGAUAAAGUCUGAGGGAAUGUGGCAUCUCCGGAUGUGUUAUAGCCCUCGGUCGCAUACAACGAUUGGGAUUGAGGAACUCAGCACGCCGAAAGGCCGGGUACUUGUACCACGUUCGUGCUUAGGAUGCUGGCAUAAUGGCUUUAAUCGACCCGUCUUGA